UCCACUGCCAUGUCUUUUCUCCUUCAGGAA
Molecule: non-coding RNA, 30 nt
Filed under: Rattus norvegicus (Norway rat)
Lineage: Eukaryota; Metazoa; Chordata; Mammalia; Rodentia; Muridae
Source: RNAcentral